This is a long non-coding RNA of Cololabis saira (Pacific saury), 146 nucleotides long. RefSeq lists it as uncharacterized. NCBI's taxonomy places the organism in Eukaryota, Metazoa, Chordata, Actinopteri, Beloniformes, Belonidae. The record is from RefSeq and is a predicted model, not a curated record. The transcript is spliced from 3 exons.
AGACCUUCAAUCCAGCCUCCAUGUUUGUUGGCCUCUUAUGAAGAUCCCUCGCAAAUACUCAUGAACAUAAUCGACCCUCCAUCCUCACCGGUGUCCUCUCUGACAAAUUCAGAGGAAAGCACAGAGAACACUUUGGAAGACGCCAG